UGUAAAGAUUGAUUUAGGGCAUGCCCUG
RNAcentral lists this small RNA (28 nucleotides) under Bombyx mori (domestic silkworm). Its description in RNAcentral is "ovarian small RNA-8869". The record is from RNAcentral. Lineage: Eukaryota; Metazoa; Arthropoda; Insecta; Lepidoptera; Bombycidae.